CGCCGCGGCUAUACCGCUAGGCUCAAGUUGAUAUUAUUCGGCGUUAAGCGUGUUUAAAGUGACCAAAAGAUUAAAAUUAAAUUUAAACCAAGCCGUGACACGCUUGUUUCUAAGAAAAACAAAAACGAAAGUUAUUUUAACCAAACCACUUGAACCCACGACAGCUAGGAAA
RNAcentral lists this ribosomal RNA (172 nucleotides) under Microhyla okinavensis (Okinawa rice frog). RNAcentral describes it as "partial 12S rRNA". The record is from RNAcentral. Lineage: Eukaryota; Metazoa; Chordata; Amphibia; Anura; Microhylidae.